RNAcentral lists this unclassified non-coding RNA (253 nucleotides) under uncultured Phycisphaeraceae bacterium. RNAcentral's name for it is "contains 16S-23S intergenic spacer region". It matches the Rfam family "Bacterial small subunit ribosomal RNA", at positions 524 to 776 of the family's 1533-position model. Lineage: Bacteria; Pseudomonadati; Planctomycetota; Phycisphaerae; Phycisphaerales; Phycisphaeraceae. The record is from RNAcentral.
UACGAAGGGUCCAAGCGUUAAUCGGAAUCACUGGGCUUAAAGGGUGCGCAGGCGGACAUGCAAGUGCCUUGUGAAAUCCCACCGCUCAACGGUGGAAUUGCUCGGCAGACUGCGUGUCUUGAACCCGACAGGGGCUGUCGGAACUGUAGGUGGAGCGGUGAAAUGCGUAGAUAUCUACAGGAACGCCAAAGGCGAAGGCAGGCAGCUGGGUCGGUGUUGACGCUCAGGCACGAAAGCGUGGGGAGCGAACGGG